UACGUAGGGGGCUAGCGUUGUCCGGAUUUAUUGGGCGUAAAGAGCGCGUAGGCGGCCCGGUAAGUCCGCUGUGAAAGUCAAAGGCUCAACCUUUGAAUGUCAGCGGAUACUGCCGGGCUAGAGUCCGGAAGAGGCGAGUGGAACUCCUGGUGUAGCGGUGGAAUGCGCAGAUAUCAGGAAGAACACCAACGGCGAAGGCAGCUCGCUGGGACGGAACUGACGCUAAGGCGCGAAAGCGUGGGGAGCGAACAGG
RNAcentral lists this ribosomal RNA (253 nucleotides) under uncultured bacterium. RNAcentral's name for it is "partial 16S ribosomal RNA". It matches the Rfam family "Bacterial small subunit ribosomal RNA", at positions 524 to 776 of the family's 1533-position model. The record is from RNAcentral.